GCCGUUUCUUGUCCAUUUCGUCAGUGUGGGAGAACGUUUUCAGUCGUCUCUUCCUUUAUUUCUAAUUUUUCCACAGUACACAAGUCUUGUACAGUAUCCAGUCUUCUGGGCCAUGUAACAGUAGGAACAGAGACGAGACUAACGGCAACCAAUGAACAAGUUGAGGAUGUUUCAGUGUUGGAGGGGGAUUUGACUGACGACGUAACGUAAGUGAUGAUAACGAGGGAGACCAAGCAGCGGUGCUGCCAGAGAGAGCAGAUGAAUCCCUUUUCUUGAACAUUUGGCUUUCUUUUAUUUAAAGUUGCAGGCAAACUUUUACUGCCAGCAUCAGUCAUACAGUCUAUUAUUGAGGAUUUUCAAGCAGUGCAUGAUAUCAGUCAGUCUCAUUUACUUCAUAAGUUGGACGAAAAGCUGGUAUCAUUGGAUAUCUCUGACCGUGAGAGAGAGAGGUUCUUAAAUCCGAGGAUUUGUUUCGGGCAUGCAACACUGGUACCUUGAAAACUGAUCAAAGACAAAAAACGGUUUUUAAAAAUCAGUUUAGAUACAUUGAGCCAGUCCCACCUUAUCUUGGAAAGAAUGAUAUGGGAUCACAGAGUGGCUUUAGUGAAAACUUCAGUAAAGGCACCCAUUUCUGCAGAUUAUGUACUAGAGCCCGACCGAUAUAUCUAUAAUAUAUUAAUAUAUAUUAUAUAAUAAACAAAAAAAAAACGAUGAUUAUUUAUCUGUACUUGUCUGCUUGAACGUUGUAAUUGCUAUUUACUACAAUUAUCCAGUAGAGGGAGCUCUAAUACAAGUGUGAACUGCAGCAGCUGACGCGCUACUUCUCUAAUAAGACGUUUGUUACUCGUGCCUCAUCCAAUAUUCUCCACUGCAAGACUUGUCUGCACAGAUUCGGUUGCGGCAAUAAAGGUGAAAAGAAAACAAUUGCAUCAUACAAAGACAGCGUGCAGCACAGCAUGCAGCAUAACAUCGCACACUUCAAUCUCUUUCCUUGGGAUCUUGGUAAGUUAAAUGUUAAAUUUGCUAAAGUAUCGUAACUGUAGCAGCAACACGUGUGCUAUUGACUCUGUGUUUCCUUGAAAAUAGCAUUAGCCACACGUGGCGUUUAAUAUUUUUCAGUUUGCACACUUCAGUUUCUUCCUUUGGGAUUUCAGCGAGUUUAAAUUUGAAAUUUAGCUAAAAUAUCGCCAUUGUAGCAGCAACACGUGUGUUAUUAACUCCGUGUUUCCUUGAAAAUAGCAUUAGCCACACGUGGUAUGUAUAGCUAUUGAGUUUCUCUCAUAUAAAGUUGAAUGU
Anguilla rostrata (American eel) is the source of this 1296-nucleotide long non-coding RNA. RefSeq lists it as uncharacterized. The record is from RefSeq and is a predicted model, not a curated record. The transcript has 3 exons. Lineage: Eukaryota; Metazoa; Chordata; Actinopteri; Anguilliformes; Anguillidae.